Molecule: ribosomal RNA, 371 nt
Filed under: uncultured bacterium
Lineage: Bacteria
Description: bacterial SSU rRNA
Rfam family: Bacterial small subunit ribosomal RNA
Source: RNAcentral
CCUACCCUUGACAUGUCAGGAAGUCCGCAGAGAUGUGGAUGUGCUCGAAAGAGAAGCCUGAACACAGGUGCUGCAUGGCUGUCGUCAGCUCGUGUCGUGAGAUGUUGGGUUAAGUCCCGCAACGAGCGCAACCCUUGUCAUUAGUUGCUACGAAAGGGCACUCUAAUGAGACUGCCGGUGACAAACCGGAGGAAGGUGGGGAUGACGUCAAGUCCUCAUGGCCCUUAUGGGUAGGGCUUCACACGUCAUACAAUGGUCGGUACAGAGGGCUGCCAACCCGCGAGGGGGAGCUAAUCCUUUAAAACCGAUCGUAGUCCGGAUUGUAGUCUGCAACUCGACUGCAUGAAGUCGGAAUCGCUAGUAAUCGCGGA